UGUUUAUCUAGUUAAUAUUAAAAUAUCAACUUGUCAAGUUGAGGAUGCAGAUUGCGAUAU
RNAcentral lists this transfer RNA (60 nucleotides) under Cornu aspersum (brown garden snail). RNAcentral's name for it is "Helix aspersa (brown garden snail) tRNA-Asp". Lineage: Eukaryota; Metazoa; Mollusca; Gastropoda; Stylommatophora; Helicidae. The record is from RNAcentral.